CAGGUGUGGGGGGACGUGAGUGGUGGUGUGUCAGGGCAUGAAGCCAAGUCCCUCCAGAGAAGGCUUUUGCUAGAGGCAUGGGUGGGAGUUGCCAGUGGGCUGUGGCCUGGGACCUGUGUUUCUUGGGCCUGACUUGUUGUUUUCUUUUGUGGUGGCUGUGGUGACUGUGCAGAGGAGCUCCGUGCCAAGUCUGAAAAUCUGGAGAAGAAGAACGGUGAGUGGGACUGUACCAUGGCAAGGCAUCCCUUCCACCAAUAUGCAGGUUUAUUUGUCAUGGUGUUGUGCUGGUGGUGAGACGUGCAUGUAGGAGUGUUUGGAAGAGCUGGGAGUGCAGGAGGGGCUGUGGAGGGAAGACAGAGCUGGGGAGCAUGGAGAUGAAGGGCCUGAGCCGUCCUUAAUGUUGCUGGUGAAGUGGUGUCUGGUGUUGGUGGCAGCAAGGCAAGCCAGGUGUGGGGGGACGUGUGUGGUGGUGUGUCAGGGCAUGAAGCCAAGUCCCUCCAGAGAAGGCUUUUGGUAGAGGCAUGGGUGGGAAUUCCCCGUGUGCUGUGUUUCUUGGGCCUGAUUUGCUGUCUUCUUUUGUGGUGGCUGUGGUGACUGUGCAGAGGAGCUCCGUGCCAAGUCUGGUGAGUCCUUGUGCUUGCCCUCAGUCAUUUGCUACUGAGGGCCUCCCAUCCCAUUCCGCAAGCCCGUGUGGGCUCUGGCAUUGUAAGUAAGCUGUUGCCCCCUUCCUCCUUGUCUUCUUGCAGAAAAUCUGGAGAAGAAGAACGGUGAGUGGGACAGUAUCAUGGGAAGCGUCCCUUCCACCAAUAUGCAGGUUUCUUUGUCAUGGUGUUGUGCUGGUGGUGAGACGUGCAUGUAGGAGUGUUUGGAAGUGCUGAGAGUGCAGGAGGGGCUGUGGAGGGAAGACAGAGCUGGGGAGCGUGGUGAUGGAGAGCCUGGGCCCUGAGCUGCCCUUUAUGCUGUCAGGGAAGUGGAGGCAGGUGUUGGUUGGCAGUGAUUCAAUCCAAGUGGUGGAGGACGUGAGUGGUGGUGUGUCAGGGUGUGAAGCCAAGUCCCUCCAGAGAAGGCUUUUGCUAGAGGCAUGGGUGGGAGUUGCCAGUGGGCUGUGGCCUGGGACCUGUGUUUCUUGGGCCUGACUUGUUGUCUUCUUUUGUGGUGGCUGUGGUGACUGUGCAGAGGAGCUCCGUGCCAAGUCUG
Gallus gallus (chicken) is the source of this 1197-nucleotide long non-coding RNA. RefSeq lists it as uncharacterized. The transcript is spliced from 2 exons. NCBI's taxonomy places the organism in Eukaryota, Metazoa, Chordata, Aves, Galliformes, Phasianidae. The record is from RefSeq and is a predicted model, not a curated record.